CACUGAGGCGUGAUGACGAGGCACCACGGUGCUGAAGCAACAAAUGCCCUGCUUCCAGGAAAAGCCUCUAAGCCUCAGGUAACAUCAAAUCGUACCCCAAACCGACACAGGUGGUCAGGUAGAGAAUACCAAGGCGCUUGAGAGAACUCGGGUGAAGGAACUAGGCAAAAUGGUGCCGUAACUUCGGGAGAAGGCACGCUGACACGUAGGUGAAGUGGUUUACCCAUGGAGCUGAAGUCAGUCGAAGAUACCAGCUGGCUGCAACUGUUUAUUAAAAACACAGCACUGUGCAAACACGAAAGUGGACGUAUACGGUGUGACGCCUGCCCGGUGCCGGAAGGUUAAUUGAUGGGGUCAGCGCAAGCGAAGCUCCUGAUCGAAGCCCCGGUAAACGGCGGCCGUAACUAUAACGGUCCUAAGGUAGCGAAAUUCCUUGUCGGGUAAGUUCCGACCUGCACGAAUGGCGUAAUGAUGGCCAGGCUGUCUCCACCCGGGACUCAGUGAAAUUGAACUCGCUGUGAAGAUGCAGUGUACCCGCGGCAAGACGGAAAGACCCCGUGAACCUUUACUAUAGCUUGACACUGAACACUGGUCCUUGAUGUGCAGGAUAGGUGGGAGGCUUUGAAGUGUGGACGCCAGUCUGCAUGGAGCCAUCCUUGAAAUACCACCCUUUAAUGGCUGGUGUUCUAACGUGGGCCCGUGAACCGGGUUGCGGACAGUGUCUGGUGGGUAGUUUGACUGGGGCGGUCUCCUCCUAAAGAGUAACGGAGGAGCACGAAGGUUGGCUAAUCCUGGUCGGACAUCAGGAGGUUAGUGCAAUGGCAUAAGCCAGCUUGACUGCGAGCGUGACGGCGCGAGCAGGUGCGAAAGCAGGUCAUAGUGAUCCGGUGGUUCUGAAUGGAAGGGCCAUCGCUCAACGGAUAAAAGGUACUCCGGGGAUAACAGGCUGAUACCGCCCAAGAGUUCAUAUCGACGGCGGUGUUUGGCACCUCGAUGUCGGCUCAUCACAUCCUGGGGCUGAAGUAGGUCCCAAGGGUAUGGCUGUUCGCCAUUUAAAGUGGUACGCGAGCUGGGUUUAGAACGUCGUGAGACAGUUCGGUCCCUAUCUGCCGUGGGCGCUGGAAGAUUGAGGGGGGCUGCUCCUAGUACGAGAGGACCGGAGUGGACGCAUCACUGGUGUUCGGGUUGUCAUGCCAAUGGCACUGCCCGGUAGCUACAUGCGGAAGAGAUAAGUGCUGAAAGCAUCUAAGCACGAAACUUGCCCCGAGAUGAAUCUUCCCUGAGCCUUUAAGGCUCCUGAAGGAACGUUGAAGACGACGACGUUGAUAGGCCGGGUGUGUAAGCGCAGCGAUGCGUUGAGCUAACCGGUACUAAUGAACCGUGAGGCUUAACCUU
RNAcentral lists this ribosomal RNA (1395 nucleotides) under Salmonella enterica. Its description in RNAcentral is "partial 23S ribosomal RNA". It matches the Rfam family "Bacterial large subunit ribosomal RNA", at positions 1554 to 2925 of the family's 2925-position model. The record is from RNAcentral. Lineage: Bacteria; Pseudomonadati; Pseudomonadota; Gammaproteobacteria; Enterobacterales; Enterobacteriaceae.